CUGCAUUGCUGAAGGCUUCGAUUCCUGAGCUGGAAAGAUCUGUGGAGAAGGGGAUGGCUACCCACUCCAGUAUUCUUGCCUGGAGAAUUCCAUGGACAGAGGAGCCUGGCGGGCUACAGUCCACGGGGUUGCAAAGAGUUGGACACGACUAAAGCGAUUUCUC
Long non-coding RNA from Cervus elaphus (red deer), 163 nucleotides. RefSeq lists it as uncharacterized. Lineage: Eukaryota; Metazoa; Chordata; Mammalia; Artiodactyla; Cervidae. The transcript is spliced from 3 exons. The record is from RefSeq and is a predicted model, not a curated record.